RNAcentral lists this long non-coding RNA (269 nucleotides) under Gallus gallus (chicken). Lineage: Eukaryota; Metazoa; Chordata; Aves; Galliformes; Phasianidae. The record is from RNAcentral.
GAAGAAGUAUUCAUGAAGCUCAGGAGACUGUGUGAAGAGGUAUCUUUCCUUUUCCUUCAUUCCCGAUUGAUUUAGAUACUUUAAUAUCAUAUUGUUCAUUUUCUUAAGCUCUUCUAUGUUCUUCCUUUCAGAUAUGAGUCUGCUUGAUAUUUGGUCCAUCUUGUUUCUAGUUUGAAUUAUUAAGAAUAUUACAAAUGAAACAAUUGCCAAACUGACAAUCAAAGUAAGAAUGAAGGCAAUGAAGAAGUAGCACUGGUUUCUUGUUUUAC